UUAUGGCUCAGGACGAACGCUGGCGGCGUGCCUAAUACAUGCAAGUCGAACGGUCUUUUCUAUGGAAGCUUGCUUCCACUGAAAAGAUAGUGGCGAACGGGUGAGUAACACGUGGGUAACCUGCCCAUAAGAGGGGGGAUAACAUCCGGAAACGGGUGCUAAUACCGCAUAGUUUUCUUGAUCGCAUGAUCGGGAAAGGAAAGACGGCCUUUGUGCUGUCGCUUAUGGAUGGACCCGCGGCGUAUUAGUUAGUUGGUGAGGUAACGGCUCACCAAGACGAUGAUACGUAGCCGACCUGAGAGGGUGAUCGGCCACAUUGGGACUGAGACACGGCCCAAACUCCUACGGGAGGCAGCAGUAGGGAAUCUUCCGCAAUGGACGAAAGUCUGACGGAGCAACGCCGCGUGAGUGAAGAAAGGUUUUCGGAUCGUAAAACUCUGUUGUCAGAGAAGAACAAGUUGGAGAGUAACUGCUCCAGCCUUGACGGUAUCUGACCAGAAAGCCACGGCUAACUACGUGCCAGCCGCAGC
RNAcentral lists this ribosomal RNA (530 nucleotides) under uncultured bacterium. Its description in RNAcentral is "bacterial SSU rRNA". It matches the Rfam family "Bacterial small subunit ribosomal RNA", at positions 17 to 518 of the family's 1533-position model. The record is from RNAcentral.